Molecule: ribosomal RNA, 2324 nt
Filed under: Aggregatibacter actinomycetemcomitans serotype e str. SC1083
Lineage: Bacteria; Pseudomonadati; Pseudomonadota; Gammaproteobacteria; Pasteurellales; Pasteurellaceae
Description: bacterial LSU rRNA
Rfam family: Bacterial large subunit ribosomal RNA
Source: RNAcentral
GUUAAGAGACAAAGCGUACAAGGUGGAUGCCUUGGCAAUCAGAGGCGAAGAAGGACGUGCUAAUCUGCGAAAAGCUCGGAUGAGUCGAUAAGAGGCGUUUAAUCCGAGAUAUCCGAAUGGGGAAACCCGGUGGGUGAAGAACCCACUAUCAUUAUCUGAAUCCAUAGGAUAAUGAGGCGAACCGGGAGAACUGAAACAUCUAAGUACCCCGAGGAAAAGAAAUCAACCGAGAUUUUGUGAGUAGCGGCGAGCGAAAGCGAAGGAGCCUGUUAGUGAUAGCGGCGGUGUCAGAGGAACGUGUUGGGAAGCACGGCGAGAGAGGGUGAUAGCCCCGUACUUGAAGACACGGCAGUGGUACUGAGCUAACGAGAAGUAGGGCGGGACACGUGAUAUCCUGUUUGAAGAAGGGGGGCCCAUCCUCCAAGGCUAAAUACUCCUGAUUGACCGAUAGUGAACCAGUACUGUGAAGGAAAGGCGAAAAGAACCGGGGUGACCGGAGUGAAAUAGAACCUGAAACCUUGUACGUACAAGCAGUGGGAGCCUGAAAGGGUGACUGCGUACCUUUUGUAUAAUGGGUCAGCGAGUUAUAUUUUGUAGCGAGGUUAACCGGAUAGGGGAGCCGAAGGGAAACCGAGUCUUAACUGGGCGAGUAGUUGCGAGGUAUAGACCCGAAACCCGGUGAUCUAGCCAUGGGCAGGUUGAAGGUUGGGUAACACUAACUGGAGGACCGAACCGACUAAUGUUGAAAAAUUAGCGGAUGACUUGUGGCUGGGGGUGAAAGGCCAAUCAAACCGGGAGAUAGCUGGUUCUCCCCGAAAUCUAUUUAGGUAGAGCCUUGAGCGGACACCUUUGGGGGUAGAGCACUGUUUCGGCUAGGGGGCCAUCCCGGCUUACCAACCCGAUGCAAACUGCGAAUACCGAAGAGUGAUACUCAGGAGACACACGGCGGGUGCUAACGUCCGUCGUGGAGAGGGAAACAACCCAGACCGCCGGCUAAGGUCCCGAAGUCUAUAUUAAGUGGGAAACGAAGUGGGAAGGCUUAGACAGCUAGGAUGUUGGCUUAGAAGCAGCCAUCAUUUAAAGAAAGCGUAAUAGCUCACUAGUCGAGUCGGCCUGCGCGGAAGAUGUAACGGGGCUGAAAUAUAGCACCGAAGCUGCGGCAUCAGGCGUAUCACUAAUACGCCUUACGAUUAACAACCUGCGCAAUGAAGAGAAGCAGGUUGGUCAAGCGUCAAACCCGUUGAGACGGAAGUCAUGACGGGAAGUGCGGUUGGAAAUUGAGGAAUAUUAGUGAUACGCCUGUUGGGUAGGGGAGCGUUGUGUAAGCGGAAGAAGAUGAAUCGAGAGGUUUGUUGGACGUAUCACAAGUGCGAAUGCUGACAUAAGUAACGAUAAAACGGGUGAAAAACCCGUUCGCCGGAAGACCAAGGGUUCCUGUCCAACGUUAAUCGGGGCAGGGUGAGUCGGCCCCUAAGGCGAGGCUGAAAAGCGUAGUCGAUGGGAAACGGGUUAAUAUUCCCGUACUUGGAUAAACUGCGAUGUGGGGACGGAGCAGGUUAGGUUAGCGUACUGUUGGAUAUGUACGUUUAAGUUGGUAGGUGGGGAGCUUAGGCAAAUCCGGGCUCCUGUUAACACUGAGAGAUGACGACGAGGCCUUAAGGGGCUGAAGUAACUGAUACCAGACUUCCAGGAAAAGCCACUAAGCGAAAGGUUUAUCUAAACCGUACUGAAAACCGACACAGGUGGUCAGGUAGAGAAUACUCAGGCGCUUGAGAGAACUCGGGUGAAGGAACUAGGCAAAAUAGCACCGUAACUUCGGGAGAAGGUGCGCCGGCGUAGAUUGUAAGGGCUUGCCCCUGAAGGUUGAACCGGUCGAAGAUACCAGCUGGCUGCAACUGUUUAUUAAAAACACAGCACUCUGCAAACACGAAAGUGGAGGUAUAGGGUGUGAUGCCUGCCCGGUGCUGGAAGGUUAAUUGAUGGUGUAAUCGCAAGAGAAGCUCCUGAUAGAAGCCCCAGUAAACGGCGGCCGUAACUAUAACGGUCCUAAGGUAGCGAAAUUCCUUGUCGGGUAAGUUCCGACCUGCACGAAUGGCAUAAUGAUGGCCAGGCUGUCUCCACCCGAGACUCAGUGAAAUUGAAAUCGCCGUGAAGAUGCGGUGUACCCGCGGCUAGACGGAAAGACCCCGUGAACCUUUACUAUAGCUUGACACUGAACAUUGAAUUUUGAUGUGUAGGAUAGGUGGGAGACUAUGAAGUUGGGACGCCAGUCUCAAUGGAGUCGACGUUGAAAUACCACUCUUUAACGUUUGAUGUUCUAACGA